CUUAAAAGUCGAAAAAUGUAUUCCAAAAAGAAAAAUGAUUACCAGACCAAGUAUCUAGAUCAAAAUAAAUAGAAACAGAAAAGGCAAACACAUUAGCAUACGAAACUCUUUUUCAUGUCCAAGUGGUUUAGCAGAGCACAAGAAGAUCUUGUGGCAAGGGGAGUUUUUUGACAGAAGAACGAAAUAAAACAGCUCUGGCUGUCGCCCAACAUCUUCUGGAGGGGUAGACGACUAAAACCAUAGCUUUCUAAAUGGAAAAGAAUUAUAAGUUAAUAUAGUGAGCUUACUUCAGAGCCACAAAAGUCAGGAAGAAAGUUGCAUUCCCCGGGAGGCUACUCGCAAGCAAACUAACAAUGGAGUUUGGUUCCUUCUCAAUGCUCUUGAACGUGUCGAAUAAGGUGCCACCCAGUGUCACUCCAAUAAAAACGUUCAGUAUGGUAAAAUAGAAAUACUUUCCAGAAAUGGCCCUUACUGCAUGGCCCACUGAAGGAAUUCCCUCAGCCUUUGAGAGAGCCAAAAGUAACUUGGGCAACAGUGCCAAAAACACAAUGAGUGCAAUCUGAGGAAGGUACGCUUCCAGCACCGUCUUAACUGAGACAAUAUUCACAAUUGUCUUUAAAAAUGGGAGAAGUUUCUUCAGAUUAUCCAGGGUUGUUAAUGCGGAAAUGAACCCGAUUGGUAUCAUAUAAAACAAUAUGGUCAGAGCCGCAAUAAAACAAACAACAUACUGCCGGAUUAUCCUUUGAAAGAGCUUAAUUUUAAGAUUAGACCAUAUUAUUUGACGUGGUUCAGGGGCUUCCAUGACAGUCCAGGUGUCAACCAUUUGGGCAUGUAGACUCUGGGCGGCAGAAGCUGCAGUCACCCUAUUGGUGAAGAAGGCAAAAGCACAAGGUUGUUGCUUCUCCCGGAGAGUGACUUUCUGUUCAGCUUCCAGCUUUGGGAUUAGCUCUUUAAUCUUCUCAUUGUAGUGCUCUAUGCUAUCUACCUUUCUACCAACAAUACCAAGGGGGCCAGUUCUGAUGGUUGGUCUCAAUCCUUCUGGUUUGCCUGUUUUUUUGGAUUCAUUGUAUACAGCUUCUGCAUGUGCAUGCUUCUUCUUGUAUCCUUCCAACUCUUUAUAAAUCUUGUUAACCUAGAAGAGUUUUAGAAAAAAGAGGGGCUCAAAAUCAGCAGAGCUCAUACAGUACGCAGCACAACACAGAAAAAGAAAACUCACAAUUGACAUUGGUCAAGGAUCAUAAAUUCCUUGAUAUGGAAUAUAAUAUACGAUAACCUCAAAUAUACUUGAUAUGGAAUCAUUAUAUUACUAGCACGUAAUUCCUUCUUUUUUUCCCUUUUCUUUAUAAUAAAUUCUGAAAGCUCAAAGGAAUUGGAAACUAUAAAACGUGGGUUGGCUCAAAUUACAGAAGCAAUUUAGGAUGUGGAAUCCAGAACAUCAGGGUAAGUGGCAAGAGCAUGGAAAGAAAGAAACUAAUUUAAAAUAAAAAAAAUACCUGUUUGUUGUUUGUCACCACCAUCGAUCUAUAGAAUGUCUCAGGAUAGAUGGAUUUAAAAUAUGAAUCAACCUGUUCCUUUCUAGUUUGGCCCUCAGGGACAUGAGGUAUGUCUCUGACAAGAACAGCGAAUUGCUCUGGUUUCACUUCAGGAGACAUUAGAGCAUUUGCUCUCAUCCCAGAAACAUGCACGUACGCCUUCCAUAAAAAGAAAUAGGUAACAAGAGAAACCCAAUAGGUAGCAAUCAAGAAUGCCCACAGCCUUGGACUCCCCCCCUGCAGACAUAUUUUUCCAUGGAGCAAAACGAAAACGGGAGCAAGUCAGUUCAAGCAAACAAAACAAAGAAAGAGGAGUUGUGGAGGUACCUUGACAUUUCCCAUUAAUAACUUGUCAAUUUCAUUAAAACUUGUGGAGGAGUUUCCUUUAACUUUUUGUAUUUCCACAUUGUCGUCGGUGGCAGCAACAGGCAGAAGUACCGGCAGCAGAACAAGGCCAGACAAAACCAAUAUUGCCAGCGCUGUCAUAUAGAACAAAAAAAAGAGUAAAAAUAAACAACGUGAGGAGAGCAGUUGUCUGAGAAAUAAUACAUGGAAUGGAAGUUAGGGUUGUCCGAAAUCAUGAAGAAAUGUACACAGAUGGAUUUGCUUAAUCCUAUGAUGUAAGGUGCUUGUCAGUAGUUCAAGCACGACUAAUAAGAGUAGUCAUUGUCAAACCCAAUUAUUUUAGAUUUAUACUUUUUUUAGUUGCAUACCACCAUGUAAACAAACUUUGUUCUGAGCAAACUAAAGUAAAUGAAAAAGGAAAUCGGAAAACAGAGAAAAAUGAAAAGGUUACGGUAUCAAGUUUUGGAAGGCAAACAUCCCUUCGCCUCGAGAAAUUAAUUUAAGGGGAAGAAAGAACAGAACUACCACCAAAAAGGGACACAAUUAAAGACUCAAAGCAAGAAAGAAACCCGUAAAAGGUAUGAUUCUAACAACCUGAUAAAUUAGUCACAGCAUUACAAUCGAAGCGAUUCUUUGUAUUAGUUUUUUACAAGAGAGAGAGAGACUCGGAGAAAGAGAGUUUAAUUAAUCAAAUACCAGUGCUCAAGAAGACAAAGUAGACAGCAGCGUCUACACCGGACAUGUUUAUAACGUCCUGCUCGCUGGAAGAGAGGGCUUCCCGGAUCCAAGCAUAAGGGUUGCGGGAUCUUGACCCGCCCUCCCAGGGAUCCAGACCUUUCAAGAUCCGGUUGGGGUAAUACACGAAGGAGUUUCCAGGCUUCCUCGACAGCCAUGUAAACAGAAGCAUUAACACCACGAAAACAAAAAACGACGUCCCUAAAGACGUCAAGAAAGAUGUGAAAUCCAUCACUCGCUCAGAACAGAAUUAUUGUGAAAUGGGAAUUAUAAGGGCAAGGAAAGGAAAAGUAGCAGUGAAGAUGAGGGCAAUGAAAGCAGGUCACCGUUGAGGGAGGAAAUGGGGAAUGUAUUUAUGCUAGAGCAUUGAUUGGUGUGUGGUUCAAAUGCAAAAGAUGAGAGAAUACAAAAUGUCUGCCACAAGAAGAAGGCUUUCGAGCUGUUUGGUUCUGUGGGGUUUCGCGCUUUUGUUCAUGUUUAUUCGUCAUCAUCGUCGCAGUGCUUUCAUUUUCAGAGUCCUCGUAAGUAAAAUGAGUGUCUGUGUGUGAAAAGAAAGCGGGGACGGCAUCAACCGAGCGCGUUUCGAGUUUAAAUAAGCAAUUGAUUGUAAAAAAUAAUUGUGAAUCAUAAAAAUUAAAAAUAAAACAUUUAAGUAUGAAUUUUUAGUUAUAAUAGAAAUUACCUAUGAAAGAAAAACAAGUAAAUAAAAGUAAAUAAUUGGUGUAUAUUAGUAAUAUGAUGUUACCUAAAGGUUAGUCAAUGAAUCUAAAUGAAUUCUAUCAACUUUAAUAUUAAAUUACAUCAAAAAUUAGAAUAAUUACUUUGAAUUAUCAAAGAAAUAUGGAUUAAGGAAAAGAUUGUAAAUUUAAUAAUAAUAAAAAAUUAGCCCCUGCUUUAUACUUAAAAGGUUUUCGGCCAAUGGAUGGAAGAAAGUAGAAGCUUUCUUCUUCUCUUUUUAUUGCUUUUUAUUUCUCAUUGCUUAUGAAAAACUAGGUUUUAGGGUUUGAUACAUGGGACUAUGAGAGCUUAAACACUUGUAAAUACAAGAGAAUGAAGUGAGAGAAAAGUAGGGUUUAAAAAGAGAAAGUAAGGAAAUUACAGCAUUUUUAAAAAUGCCCUGUCCACGUCAACGUGAUCUUUUUAGAUAAUGUUUUCUGCAUCCUAGCUCUCAGCUUCAUAAUUUUCAACUAUGUUGACGUGUGUUUGUCUCCACUAUUUUGAUGCUUGAUGUGAUAGAAAUAAAAAUAAAUUAAGAAGUCAAAAAAUAUUAUUUUUAAUAUAUUUUUAAAUAAAAAAAUAUUUUUAAAAAUAAUCAUCAAUAUAAUAUUAAACAUAAACUAGAGGUGAUUAUUUUUUAUUCGGUUUAGUUUUUAUAUAAAAAAUAACCAAACCAAAGUUUUUUUAAAAAAAAUCAAAACCGGUUCAAACAGACUGGUUUCAGUUCCGUUUAGUUUUUUAAACAAAAAUUGGUUCAAAUCGAUUUCACUCGGUUUUUUUCGGUUUUGCCUCGGUUAUUUCCGGUUUGGCUUGAUUUUUUGGUUUUGCUCGGGUUUUUUCCGGUUUGGGUUCGGUUCGGUUUGGUUUUUUCGAUUUCAGACUUAUAAAACCAAAAUCAAACCGAACCGAAAAAAAACCGAGCCAUGAAUAAAAUAAUAAAUACUUUAGAUAUGAGGGGAAAAAUACAGUAACUAAACCAUGAAAAUGACCAACAUCAACAUAGUCUAUAUAUAUACCAGAUGCCAUGUCCGCGUGAUGUUGCGAGCUUAUAGCAUGCUUGUGCGUUGUUGUGCAUUUGUGAAAAAAAUCAUAAAAAAAUUUAAAAAACUAUAUGGAGAAAAAUUGUUGCAAUCCAUAAUAUUUUGAAGAAAAAAACUACAAAGUUAAAUUCUCAACUAACUUACUUUUUAAAAAAUAAAAUCGACAAAGAUAAUUCAGAAAAAAAUCAUAACAAAAAAAAACAAUGUAGGGAAACAUUAUAGCAAUCUGUAAUGUUUCAUGAGGAAAUCUAUAGUUUUAAUUCUUAACCAGCUCAAUAUUAAAAAAAAUAAAAUCGAUAAAGAUAAUUUAAAAAAAAUCUUAACAAAAAAAUCAUAUGAAGGAACACUGUAGCAAUCAACAGUGUUUUAAAAAAAAAAACUAAGAUGCUAAAUUCUCAACUAGCUUAAUAUGAAAAAAAAUAAAAUCAACAAAAGACAAUUAUGGAAAAAAAUCAUAAAAAAAGAAAAAAAAACCAUGUGUGAAAACACCGUAGUAAUCCAUAAUGUUUUAAAGAAAAAAACUAUAAAGCUAAAUUCUCAACUAGCUCAAUAUUAAAAAAAAAUCGACAAAGAUAAUUUUUUAAAAAAAAAACAUGCGGGAACACACUAUAGCAAAACAAAAACCAUGUCGGGAAAUAUUUUAGCAAUCCACAAUGGUUUUUUAAAAAAAUACAACACAAAAUUCUUAACUAGCUCAAUAUAUAAAAAAACUACCAAAUAUCAUUUUGAAAAAAAAAACAAAGAAAAAAAAUUCAUAAAAAGAAAAAAAAAUCAUGUGGUGAAACAUUAUAGCAAUCUAUAAUAUUUUAAAGAAAAAAACUUCAAAACUAAAUCCUCAAUCAAUUCAAUAUUAAAAAAAAAUCAAUAAAAUAACUUUGAAAAAAACACAAAAACAAAAAGAAUAAUAAUAAAAAAUGACCAUCUUUGGAAAAAAAGAAAAGAAAAAAAACAUUUAAAUCCCAAAAAAAAAAGGGAAAAAAUGAAAAAAAAUGGGGAAAUGCAUACAUACAUACAUACAUACAUACAUACAUAUAUAUAUAUAUAUAUAGUUUUUUAGAGUCAAAUAAUUCUAAAAGGUAAAAUCUUUGUCUUACAACCUCCUUUCCUAACUGAUUUAAAAAAAAAAAAAAAAGUCGAAGAGUUUUAUACUUUUGUUUUUGGAUCAUUAAAUGAACAUAAUUGUUGGAAUCACGCGAACUUAAUUAAAAAGGAAAGGGCAAGCAGAAAAUUUAUUUCUUUUAAAAUUCAAUCAAUCAUAAUUUUUUUAAAUAGUAAUUAUGACUUAGUAAUCCAAAGCUUGCUAGGUUAGAUCUCUUUUCAAAAUCAUACAAUUAUGGUAAAACUAGACACAUAUCCUCGCGUAGUGAAGUAUACAAUUUCAAUUAUUCAUAUAAAAUUAACUAUUUAGUAUUUGAUUAUAUUGUCAUAAUCUUGUGGUAUGUUAUCCCUUGUAUUGUUAUUAUUCUAUUUAAUAGUAAUAAAUCUUGUACCUAUACAAAAAUAUUUAACUAAUAUUUUUUAUAACAAAAUAUAAUUAUUUUUUAAAAUAUUUCUCAUUUUGUUAAAAUAAUAAUUUUUUUAAAAAUAUAUUUUUAACACUAAACACCAAAACAAUUCAAAAACGACCACAAAAAGUUAAAAUUUAAAGAAAUUUAAAACUACGUUACAAACUGAAACUUGGUUAAUAAUGCAUCUGCACAUGAUACAAUAACUAAACCAUGAAAAUGACCAACAUCACCACAGUCUAUAUAUAUAUAUAUAUAUAUAAAUUUAAUUAUUUAGUAAUUUGAUUACAUUAUCAUAACCUUUUGGUAUGUUGCCACAUUGUUAUUAUUCUAUGUACCUAUAAAAAAUAGAGUUUUUAUAAUUUUUAAAACAUUCCUUUGAUUAUUUUUUAAAAUAUUAUUUAAUUUAAAAUUUAUUAAAAUAUUAUUUAAAAAAUAAUUUUAAUAUCAACUCAUCAAAACAAUUCAAAAAUAAUAAAAACAAUAACAUUUAAAAGAAAUUUGAAACUACGUUACAAACAAACUGAAACUUGGUUAAUAAUGCAUCUGCACACAAUCAAAUACUUGUUGAAAUACAACGACCGCCUGAACGCGGGUUUCGGUUCAUCUUGAUGUUUUUUAAAGCAAUCUGCAACCUAGAAAGCUUCAACUCUCGAGUAAAAUACACGAAAUACACAAUAUGUUUACAAGUAAAUCCAUGACGUGAUCCACAAAUCUAACAAAUGGUCCAAGUUUUAGAAGCUAAAGGUACUACAGGACUUCAUCGAGCAACAAGAAGCUAGCUACCAACAGGGUAAUAUCAUGCAAACGAUCCGACUCUUGAAACUUGUGAUAAUGCAUCUUCGAAGUGGUCAUCAUCGGCCUUUUCAGAGCUCAAGCUUGGUGGGAUAAAAGACCUGUAGAUGCGUUCCAUGUCAGGAAUUUCCUUCAAUUCACGGCAAGCAACUUCGAGGGCUGUGUCGGCGAAAGAUCUAUAGAAUUUCUUCUGACAGACAAAGGCGAACAGCAAGGAAAGUAUCGGCAGUGGAAUUAGCAAGAGAGUACUGAAGGAGAAUUUCUUCACCCCAAAAUAACCGAACAUUGUAACUUGGUAUAGUAUCAGAGCAGCUAUGACUCUUGUAUGGAUGUGGGGCCACAUCCUGCCAUAGGUCUCAUAGGAUGGAGCAUAUACUUUGAGUGCCUGUUAAAUUUAACCACAUUUGCAAUUAAUAUUGAACAUGUUUAGCUGCAAAACUGGUCGCAUGUUUUGUGAAAAUACGAACUUCUAUUUGCCAAAACUUGCAGCACUUCAAAAUAAAAUGAAAAUAUCAAAGUGAACACAACAGAUAGAUCCGAAAUUCAGCAAAUGUUUGUCAUAGCAAUACACAAUACAUGUUGUUUUAGCUAGCUACAAAAUUUGAAGUGUUAACCCAUCAGAAUGAAUCCAAGCCAUCUCAUGCCAGCACAGGUUUGUGGAAAUAUUGAUUUCUAUUUGCCAGAAUUUGCAACAGUUCAAGGAAUAUGAACAUAGAAAGCACGCAAUGAAUUCUCCGAAAAAACACACACACACACACUGCUAGUCAAACAGAGUAACCAUUCCAAAAUUCAAACAAAACAUUCUAAGAUUUUUAUGAAUGGUGUGAGAUCCUUACCUGGUUCCUAAGGACAAGCCAUCCCAGGCCAAAGUACACCACUCCAAAUGGAAUAAUCAGAGGGGCUAUGACAGAGUAGCAAAGAACAAUUGUGAGAACAAGCAUGUCACCAGGAAUCCGGGUUGCAUAUCCGAAAUCUUUAGGAAACCAAGCUUCUUUUAACUCAGCUUCGGUCUUGCAUAGAUACUUCUUCUUUAGAUGAAAAAUGAUUAGAGGAACUAUACGAGACAGCUCGAGUCCAUAGCCAACGAAAAACCUGAGAGCCACAGAAUACUUAAAAGUCAAAAAAUGCAUUCCAAAAAGAAAAAUGAUUACCAGACCAAGUAUCUAGAUCAAAAUAAAUAGAAACAGAAAAGGCAAACACAUUAGCAUAAGAAACUCCUUUUCAUGUCCAAGUGGUUUAGCAGAGCACAAGAAGAUCUUGUAGCAAGGGGAGUUCUUUGACAGAAGAACGAAAUAAAACAGCUCUGGCUGUCGCGCAACAUCUUCUGGAGGGGUAGACGACUAAAACCAUAGCUUUCUAAAAGGAAAAGAAUUAUAAGUUAAUAUAGUGAGCUUACUUCAGAGCCACAAAAGUCAGGAAGAAAGUUGCAUUCCCCGGGAGGCUACUCGCAAGCAAACUAACAAUGGAGUUUGGUUUCGCCUCAAUGCUCUUGAACGUGCUGAAUAAGGUGCCACCCAGUGUCACUCCAAUAAAGACGUUCAGUAUGGUAAAAUAGAAAUAUUUUCCAGAAGUGGCCCUUACUGCAUGGCCCACUGAAGGAAUUCCCUCAGCCUUUGAGAGAGCCAAAAGUAACUUGGGCAACAGUGCCAAAAACACAAUGAGUGCAAUCUGAGGAAG
RNAcentral lists this long non-coding RNA (8346 nucleotides) under Populus tremula. RNAcentral's name for it is "long non-coding RNA (PTRE_LNC000265)". Lineage: Eukaryota; Viridiplantae; Streptophyta; Magnoliopsida; Malpighiales; Salicaceae. The record is from RNAcentral.